UCACCCCUAGAAUAAAUUGAGAAAAUGCUUGAUUGCAUUAUAUUUGUCAAGAAUUGAAAUGAUAAUGAAUGAAUGAAUAUGUGCUUAAAAGAAUCUUACAUUCAUUUGAAAGAAAAUAUAAGAUGAUGAAAAAACCUAGAGGAGAUGAUUUAGAAGGAUAUAUGAUGUGAUCAAAUGAAGAAAUGGGGCAGUGAUACAAUCAAGUGAUGAGUACAAGGAUGAAUUGGUUGAAUGGUGGGAACAAUCAGUGGACAGAGUUUGUUUUGGAAUGGUUAAUGCUGAGACA
This 286-nucleotide long non-coding RNA is filed under the name Durio zibethinus. RNAcentral's name for it is "long non-coding RNA (DZIB_LNC000088)". The record is from RNAcentral. Lineage: Eukaryota; Viridiplantae; Streptophyta; Magnoliopsida; Malvales; Malvaceae.